RNAcentral lists this small RNA (123 nucleotides) under uncultured Ewingella sp. RNAcentral describes it as "isrA Hfq binding RNA". It matches the Rfam family "isrA Hfq binding RNA". Lineage: Bacteria; Pseudomonadati; Pseudomonadota; Gammaproteobacteria; Enterobacterales; Yersiniaceae. The record is from RNAcentral.
CACGGUGACCGGCGUAUCUGUCCCAAACCCGGCUUCUGCCAGCCAGUCGCCUUUAAGAUGCAGGCUGGGUGUGCGGCUGUAAUAGGUGGUCAUGCCGGUAGCGCGUUUAAUAUGCUGGAUACU